RNAcentral lists this ribosomal RNA (450 nucleotides) under uncultured bacterium. RNAcentral describes it as "bacterial SSU rRNA". It matches the Rfam family "Bacterial small subunit ribosomal RNA", at positions 62 to 527 of the family's 1533-position model. The record is from RNAcentral.
UCGAACGAGAAAGUGGAGCAAUCCAUGAGUACAGUGGCGACCGGGUGAGUAACACGUGACCAACCUGCCCUCGAGUGGGGGAUAACUCCGGGAAACCGGGGCUAAUACCGCAUAACAUCUUCGGAUCGGAAGAACUGGAGAUCAAAGGAGCAAUUCGCUUGAGGAGGGGGUCGCGGCUGAUUAGCUAGUUGGCGGGGUAAUGGCCCACCAAGGCGAAGAUCGGUAGCCGGCCUGAGAGGGCGCACGGCCACACUGGAACUGAAACACGGUCCAGACUCCUACGGGAGGCAGCAGUGGGGAAUUUUGCGCAAUGGGGGAAACCCUGACGCAGCAUCGCCGCGUGGAGGAUGAAGUCCCUUGGGACGUAAACUCCUUUCGACCAAGACGAUAAUGACGGUACUGGUGGAAGAAGCACGGGCUACUCUGUGCCAGCAGGCGCGGUUAUAAUCA